GCCACGAUGGCCUAGUGGAUAAGGCACUGGGCUGUGACCCUUGUGGUCCCGGGUUCCGAUCCCCGGCCGCGGCA
This 74-nucleotide transfer RNA is filed under the name Penaeus japonicus. RNAcentral's name for it is "tRNA-His". It matches the Rfam family "tRNA". Rfam says of the family: Transfer RNA (tRNA) molecules are approximately 80 nucleotides in length. Their secondary structure includes four short double-helical elements and three loops (D, anti-codon, and T loops). The record is from RNAcentral. Lineage: Eukaryota; Metazoa; Arthropoda; Malacostraca; Decapoda; Penaeidae.